Non-coding RNA from Paramuricea clavata, 87 nucleotides. The record is from the annotation of a GenBank genome assembly. Lineage: Eukaryota; Metazoa; Cnidaria; Anthozoa; Malacalcyonacea; Plexauridae.
UCCUAUAGGAUCCUAUAGGAAUUCCUAUAGGAAUUCCUAUAGGAUCCUAUAGGAAUUCCUAUAGGAAUUCAUAUAGGAUCCUAUAGG